Molecule: ribosomal RNA, 478 nt
Filed under: uncultured bacterium
Lineage: Bacteria
Description: SSU rRNA
Rfam family: Bacterial small subunit ribosomal RNA
Source: RNAcentral
AGGAUGAACGCUGGCGGCGUGCUUAACACAUGCAAGUCGAACGGUGAAAGAGGAGCUUGCUCCUCUGGAUCAGUGGCGAACGGGUGAGUAACACGUGAGUAACCUGCCCUUGACUCUGGGAUAAGCGUUGGAAACGACGUCUAAUACCGGAUACGACCUCCGAAGGCAUCUUCUGGAGGUGGAAAGAAUUUCGGUCAAGGAUGGACUCGCGGCCUAUCAGCUAGUUGGUGAGGUAAUGGCCCACCAAGGCGACGACGGGUAGCCGGCCUGAGAGGGUGACCGGCCACACUGGGACUGAGACACGGCCCAGACUCCUACGGGAGGCAGCAGUGGGGAAUAUUGCACAAUGGGCGCAAGCCUGAUGCAGCAACGCCGCGUGAGGGACGACGGCCUUCGGGUUGUAAACCUCUUUAGUAGGUAAGAAGCGAAAGUGACGGUACUGCAGAAAAGCACCGGCUAACUACGUGCCAGCAGCCGC